UACGGGGGGAGCAAGCGUUGUUCGGAUUUACUGGGCGUAAAGGGCGCGUAGGCGGCCACCGCAAGUCGACUGUGAAAUCUCCGGGCUUAACCCGGAAAGGUCAGCCGAUACUGCGGGGCUAGAGUGCAGAAGGGGCAACUGGAAUUCCCGGUGUAGCAGUGAAAUGCGUAGAUAUCGGGAGGAAUACCGAUGGCGAAGGCAGGUCUCUGGGCUGACACUGACGCUCAUGCACGAAAGCGUGGGGAGCAAACAGG
This 254-nucleotide ribosomal RNA is filed under the name uncultured bacterium. Its description in RNAcentral is "partial 16S ribosomal RNA". It matches the Rfam family "Bacterial small subunit ribosomal RNA", at positions 524 to 776 of the family's 1533-position model. The record is from RNAcentral.